CUCGCUUAUGCGAAUGCGAACAUUUGACAGUUGAGUUGAAUACACAUGUUCUUAUGAGAUGAGCUACAUAGCUUUCGCAUGUUUUCGCAACCAACGCUCCGAAAUUCGAACUCGGAUUCGAAGACGAACAGAAGUUGAAAAUUUUCAACUUUCAUGCGCUAAGACAGCAACCUUCACAUUCUUAAAAAUAGCAACCAACAUUAUGUUACUUACAAUCUUGUAUUUUUUAAUUGUUUAAGCUCGUUUUCUUCGAUACAAUAUAAGUAUUUUGUGAAAUAUAAUAUUUAUUAAUUUAUUAAUAAUAUAUUUAUCAAAUAUUUAAAGUUAUUUUUAAAGAUAAGGGGUGAUAAAGUUUUAAUAUACAAGGUAGGCAGUUUAAAUUUUCCUUCCGUUGCUUAAUUCAAGGUAUUCUAUGAACACUGCUAAUAAAAAUCACUAAAAAUUUAAAAUCAUUGUCCAUGUUAUUUAGUUCGUUUUCAAAUUCGCAAAUAAAAAUUGAGUCUGUGUAUCACCUUGUGGACGCAUUCAAAAGCGCUUUUAUGGAGCGGCUCGAAAUAUACGCAGUCAAGCGCACUUUUAUGCUUUCGCAUUCGCAUUCGCAUACGCGAACUAUGUAGUUUCAGCUUAAUGAUCUCAGUUCUCUCAUGCUGUGGUGUAUUAUUUUUCUUUCGAAGUGGCGAGUUUUCGAUGUUCCCUUAUAUUUUAGCACACAAAAAGUUGCGAGUGAACAUUUGCUCCUUCUUAUUAUUAUACGUUCUUUGCUUAAUCCGAGGUAUUCUAUGUACACUGCUUAUAAAAAUCACUGAAAAUUGAAAAUCGCCUUCCAUGAUAUUUAGUUCAAUUUCAAACUCACAAAUAAAAAAUGUGUAUGUGUAUCACCUUGUACACAGCUGUCAACGCAUUCAAAAGCGCAAUUAUGGAGGUGCUCGAAAUAUACGCAGUCAAGCGCAUUUUUUCGCUUCCGCACUCAUUGGAAAAGAAAAUUUAGAGUGAAUGAAUAUUAAGAAGUAGAAAAAGGAUUAUGCCAAUGGAGGCAGAUGGAUAUUUGCAAACUUCGGAAGAAACAUUUAAGUUUAGUAAAACAAUAGCGACUCCAGACAGACGACUCAUAGAAACAGAUUGCAUUAAUAUUCACCAACACUGACAUAAUAAUAAUAACAACGUAAUGGAUGCUUAUGGUGAUAACAAUCAACAGAAUUCGCAACAACAAAGUGGAGACAAAGUAUUACUCCCAUGUAAGAAGGUAGCUAUAUUUCCUACCUGCAGCUCAUCAACUUAUACAACGUAUCGUAUCGAACUCAAAUACGCCGUAUGAUGGAGAAGCACUCGUAUUUCUUCGGCCAUUGUGUCAGGAAGUAACUAAAAUCGUGCACCUGGAAAUACAACACAAAAUAUGCUACAAAAACAAAUAAUAUUGAAAUUGCGAAUAUAGAUAUUGUAAUUACAAUGAUCCCCGCUUAAGUGCCUUUCAAGCCUAAGUAACCAUAUUUAGCGACAUCGUUAAAUUUUCUCUAAAUUUACAUAUAAAAUUCCCCGCUUAAGAGCGUCCGCUUAAAUGCUUGUAAUAUUUAAGCCACAAAUACCAAAUUGUUUGCAAUUUUCUUCCUUUAAGUGCCUUUUCAUAUUUUUGACAUUUAAUGCGCUGAAAAUUGUCAAAAGGAAAGCUUAUAGUACAUAGUUUUGUAAUGUUUUUUUACAUAUUUAUUGUUAUUAAUAAGUAUGUUUGUUAUUAAU
This is a long non-coding RNA of Zeugodacus cucurbitae (melon fly), 1734 nucleotides long. RefSeq lists it as uncharacterized. The record is from RefSeq and is a predicted model, not a curated record. The transcript is spliced from 3 exons. NCBI's taxonomy places the organism in Eukaryota, Metazoa, Arthropoda, Insecta, Diptera, Tephritidae.